Molecule: ribosomal RNA, 484 nt
Filed under: uncultured bacterium
Lineage: Bacteria
Description: partial 16S ribosomal RNA
Rfam family: Bacterial small subunit ribosomal RNA
Source: RNAcentral
AUUGAACGCUGGCGGCAUGCUUUACACACGCAAGUCGAACGGCAGCGCGGGCUUCGGCCUGGCGGCGAGUGGCGAACGGGUGAGUAAUGCAUCGGAACGUGCCCAGUAGUGGGGGAUAGCCCGGCGAAAGCCGGAUUAAUACCGCAUACGACCUGAGGGGGAAAGCGGGGGACCGAAAGGCCUCGCGCUAUUGGAGCGGCCGAUGUCGGAUUAGCUAGUUGGUGGGGUAAAGGCUUACCAAGGCGACGAUCCGUAGCUGGUCUGAGAGGACGACCAGCCACACUGGGACUGAGACACGGCCCAGACUCCUACGGGAGGCAGCAGUGGGGAAUUUUGGACAAUGGGGGCAACCCUGAUCCAGCCAUGCCGCGUGCGGGAAGAAGGCCUUCGGGUUGUAAACCGCUGUUGUUCGGGAAGAAAUCCUCUGGGCUAAUACCCCGGGGGGAUGACGGUACCGGAAGAAUAAGCACCGGCUAACUACGUG